This 253-nucleotide ribosomal RNA is filed under the name uncultured Alphaproteobacteria bacterium. RNAcentral describes it as "partial 16S ribosomal RNA". It matches the Rfam family "Bacterial small subunit ribosomal RNA", at positions 524 to 776 of the family's 1533-position model. Lineage: Bacteria; Pseudomonadati; Pseudomonadota; Alphaproteobacteria. The record is from RNAcentral.
UACGAAGGGUGCAAGCGUUACUCGGAAUUACUGGGCGUAAAGCGCGCGUAGGCGGUUUUUUAAGUCAGAGGUGAAAGCCUGGAGCUCAACUCCAGAACUGCCUUUGAAACUGGAAAACUUGAAUCUUAGAGAGGUUAGUGGAAUUCCGAGUGUAGAGGUGAAAUUCGUAGAUAUUCGGAGGAACACCAGUGGCGAAGGCGGCUCACUGGCUCGAUACUGACGCUGAGGUGCGAAAGCGUGGGGAGCAAACAGG